This is a long non-coding RNA of Macadamia integrifolia, 998 nucleotides long. RefSeq lists it as uncharacterized. The record is from RefSeq and is a predicted model, not a curated record. The transcript is spliced from 2 exons. Lineage: Eukaryota; Viridiplantae; Streptophyta; Magnoliopsida; Proteales; Proteaceae.
GGAGGUAUUCCUGUUUUGGUUCUGGGAAGGAGGAAGAGGAGGACGUCGACAACGGGGAGAACAAAAAUAUAGGCGCAAUUACUAUCACUCUCCUACACUUAGCCUAUAUUUAUUAAAACUCACCUAACUUUAAUUUUUUUUCUGAUACUCUUAUGCUACGUUUGAACUUUUACCUUUUCUUUUCCCCUAUUCUUUUUAAACAUCCAAAUUACCCCUCAUUUUCACCCAUUAACUGAUUCAUCUCUUAUUUAAUUAUUUAUUAUUUAUUUGCUAAUCGUUUUUUCUCUGCUCCUCCUCCGUCGAACACGACGGCAGGCGAACCCGCACCACCCUCCUUUCCUCAUCUUCACUUUCCCAAUAGGAAGAGGAAAGAGCAGGUCAAGUUCCCAACCUCCUCCUCUCCCAGCUCUCCCCUGCCCACCACUAAAUAAAAAGAAAUUAAACUCCCUCAACGAUUUAACCCUAAAAACCUAAGCUUUCUGGCUCUCUCUUCCCCAAUUUGCGCUCUCGCUGCCUUGGUCGUCCUUGAAUCAUCGGUGGUGAUGGGAAAUUAAUGGUGGUCUUUCCGGACCUACGGUGGUGAUCGGAAGCUGGAGAGUGUGAAUGGUAAGGUUUUCAGGGCCAACGAGCUCCACAGAUCUUAAUGAUGUCUCUACUGAAAGCCAUAGAGUGCUUGAAAUUUCGCUUCUUCAACAUUGAGAGAUGGUUCUGAAGCAUCUGUUAGAGAGAAUUUGAACCUCCUUGGCAGGGUGAAGACAAUAGAAGGUUCUACAAUGAGGGGAAUUCAUCUGCAAGAGAGUGCAAAAAUCAACCAGUCCCUUUUUGCCUCACUGAUUACUAUUCUAAUAAUUACCCUUCUAUUAUUCUUCCAUUCCCUCUUCUUUUUCUUGGCAACUUGUCUACAUGUUUCUCAAGGAUGUCUUUGAACUUUGGUUCUGUCACUCUUCAGAAUAUGCCAAAUGAUUUAAGAUCGCAAACAGAAGUUUAUAUUUUAUAUA